Molecule: long non-coding RNA, 540 nt
Filed under: Rhinolophus ferrumequinum (greater horseshoe bat)
Lineage: Eukaryota; Metazoa; Chordata; Mammalia; Chiroptera; Rhinolophidae
Description: lncRNA (ENSRFEG00010020566.1)
Source: RNAcentral
AUGAGGAAGCAGGCCCAGAGUGGCAUGUGGGCUCAGACCCCGCUGGAUCUCCACCCCCCGCUGGACCAGCAAUGGGAAGCAGCGCAGCCCUCCGUACAGCAGAGGUGUGGGCAUAGCCACCCCAGGAAACUGUACCCCAGGAGGAUGCCCGAGUGAGGGGGGCCGUGAGGAGCGAAAGAUCUUCUCUUUUCCAGAAAUGCAAGAAAAAUAUCAAGAGGCUGGAUUCAUUCUUUAAACCUGUUUCAACUAUAGAUGCCAUCUCUUGACAGCCUGCUCUCGAGGGUCAGCCGAUCUGAGUGGAAAGCCCAAGGCCUCUGCUUCCAAGACUCACUUGCAAGUUUGGACAAGAAGAUUCGAAAGCCCUGCUCUGGUGCCCACCACUGGGGCAGACAUUUAGGGCACAGCUGCUCUUGCCUGGGAGUACCAGGGCCCCCAGCAGCUGGUUUCCUAGCCAGGCUAAUGCGUGAAAACAGGGAGAAGACCCUGGUAAGUACACAGGAGGGUGGGCGCAGGAAGAGAACUGAGCUCUUUGUCCAAAUA